RNAcentral lists this long non-coding RNA (883 nucleotides) under Daphnia pulicaria. RNAcentral describes it as "uncharacterized LOC124313874". The record is from RNAcentral. Lineage: Eukaryota; Metazoa; Arthropoda; Branchiopoda; Diplostraca; Daphniidae.
AUUGGUGGGUCGACCACUGGUGUACUGAUGUCUCCUGGGUAUGGCGGAUACCAAACCGCAACGCCGCCGCCUUACUACCCAAAAACAACUUACGCAACGACCAGUUACUGCACCGAGGUCUACAAUUACUACACUACUAAGGCACCGGAGUUCUAAACCACAACUUUCGCUGCCCCGAGCCACUACACUGACGUCCUGAAGUAUUAUUCUGCCCCGAGUUACUACACCACCAAGGCGACGGAGCAUGACUACGCAUACUGCCCCAUCCUACUACACCGAGGCUCCCAAAUGCCACACCUAGGCUCCCGCUGAUUACUCCACCAAAACGGUCGAGUACUACACCGAAGCGGCAAAGUACUCUGCCCCGAUCCACGCAACCACAACUGAGGCGGCCAAGUAUUACGCAGUCCCCACUUAGUACACAGAAGCUGCUCUUUCGUGCUACCUUGAACAGAAAUACUACACUGAUGCUCCAGUCUACUACACCGCGACCUACGCUACACCUAGCUACAACACCAUAGCCCCCAAUUACUACACCGACGAAGCCGCCUUUUACACAGCUACGUACGCUGCCUAGUUUACUACAUGAGGAAUUUAAGUAUUACCCUGCCCCAAACUACUAAACUGAGGUUCAUAUGUAUUACAUCAGCAAAUCUCCCGACUAGUCACCACUUACGCUACUCCGACCUAUACACCGAAGUUGUGAAGUAUUUCUCUGGAUGUGUUGAAAGAUUGCUGAAAUACAAAAUUGAUAAAUAACAAAUUCAUGUUUCUCCUUAUGUACUUUUCCUGCUGCUGAUAAUUGCAUGAUGUGAGAAAAUAUUUUUGAGUGCUAUGUAAACUUACAAUAUUGAUCUUGCAAAAUACAACAAUAAAAUUCAAA